Molecule: transfer RNA, 69 nt
Filed under: Ictidomys tridecemlineatus (thirteen-lined ground squirrel)
Lineage: Eukaryota; Metazoa; Chordata; Mammalia; Rodentia; Sciuridae
Description: Spermophilus tridecemlineatus (thirteen-lined ground squirrel) tRNA
Rfam family: tRNA
About the family: Transfer RNA (tRNA) molecules are approximately 80 nucleotides in length.
Source: Rfam by way of RNAcentral
GGGAUUGUGGCUCAGUGGUAGAGCGCUCAACUAGCAUGUGUGAGGCCCUGGGUUCGAUCCUCAGCACCA